GACGGAGGAUGCAAGUGUUAUCCGGAAUCACUGGGCGUAAAGCGUCUGUAGGUGGUUCAAUAAGUCAACUGUUAAAUCUUGAGGCUCAACUUCAAAAAUCGCAGUCGAAACUAUUGGACUCGAGUAUAGUAGGGGGUAAAGGGAAUUUCCAGUGGAGCGGUGAAAUGCGUAGAGAUUGGAAAGAACACCAAUGGCGAAAGCACUUUACUGGGCUAUUACUGACACUGAGAGACGAAAGCUAGGGUAGCAAAUGGG
RNAcentral lists this ribosomal RNA (255 nucleotides) under uncultured bacterium. RNAcentral describes it as "partial 16S ribosomal RNA". It matches the Rfam family "Bacterial small subunit ribosomal RNA", at positions 524 to 776 of the family's 1533-position model. The record is from RNAcentral.